RNAcentral lists this ribosomal RNA (401 nucleotides) under uncultured bacterium. Its description in RNAcentral is "bacterial SSU rRNA". It matches the Rfam family "Bacterial small subunit ribosomal RNA", at positions 356 to 773 of the family's 1533-position model. The record is from RNAcentral.
AGGGAAUUUUCCACAAUGGACGAAAGUCUGAUGGAGCAACGCCGCGUGCAGGAUGAAUGCCUUCGGGUUGUAAACUGCUUUUAUAUGUGACGAAUAUGACGGUAGCAUAUGAAUAAGGAUCGGCUAACUCCGUGCCAGCAGUCGCGGUCAUACGGAGGAUCCAAACGUUAUCCGGAAUUACUGGGCGUAAAGAGUUGCGUAGGUGGCAGAGUAUGUCUGUAGUGAAAGCGUGUGGCUCAACCAUAUAUACAUUACAGAAACUGCUCAGCUAGAGAGCGAGAGAGGUAACUAGAAUUCCUUGUGUAGGAGUGGAAUCCGUAGAUAUAAGGAGGAAUACCGAUGGCGUAGGCAGGUUACUGGCUCGUCUCUGACACUAAGGCACGAAAGCGUGGGUAGCAAAC